AUCCCAUCGGCUCAACCGUGGAAUUGCCUCUGAUACUGCGUUGCUUGAGGGAGAUAGGGGCAUCUGGAACUUCCGGUGGAGCGGUGAAAUGUGUUGAUAUCGGAAGGAACGCCGGUGGCGAAAGCGAGAUGCUGGGUCUUUUCUGACGCUGAGGUGCGAAAGCUAGGGUAGCGAACGGGAUUAGAUACCCCGGUAGUCCUAGCCGUAAACGAUGAGCACUGGGUAGAAAGCACUCCGAUGGUGCCUUCUGCCGAAGCGAAAGUGUUAAGUGCUCCGCCUGGGGAGUAUGGUCGCAAGACUGAAACUCAAAGGAAUUGACGGGGGCUCACACAAGCGGUGGAGCAUGUUGCUUAAUUCGAAGCAACGCGAAGAACCUUACCUGGGCUUGACAUGUACGGAUUAGCUCUUGGAAACAUGAGUGACGCCCUCGGGUGGAACGUACACAGGUGCUGCAUGGCUGUCGUCAGCUCGUGCUGUGAAGUGUUGGGUUAAGUCCUUUAACGAGCGCAACCCUUGUCGCUAGUUGCCAGCGCGUUAUGGCGGGGACUCUAGCGAGACUGCCGGUGUCAAACCGGAGGAAGGUGGGGAUGACGUCAAGUCCUCAUGGCCCUUACGCCCAGGGAUGCAAACGUGCUACAAUGGCGUGUACAGAGCGACGCGAUGCCGCGAGGCGGAGCAAAUCGCAAAAAGCACGCCCCAGUUCGGAUAGCAGUCUGCAACU
Molecule: ribosomal RNA, 721 nt
Filed under: uncultured Planctomycetota bacterium
Lineage: Bacteria; Pseudomonadati; Planctomycetota
Description: bacterial SSU rRNA
Rfam family: Bacterial small subunit ribosomal RNA
Source: RNAcentral